GGAGAAUCUAGAUGUGCAGGAGAUGCUAGGAGAUGAAGAACAAGUAUGACUUACAGAAAUGGAGAAGAGGAUCACUGUGCUCCAGGAUGUGACCAGCAUAUUGUCACUCCUCAACUCAAACAUACCUCUGCUCCUCCUUUACCAACGCAAGACAUCACCUACACAAACAGGGAGUAGAGGUCCAGUCUAGUCUGAACCUGCCAUCUGUCUACGGCUGGGAGCACUCAAGUAAGGAAAGAAGACAUUCCAGGGCCGAGCAAGCGAUACUUGUAUGAGGAAUGUCAGACUGCCUCUGACUAGGAAAUCUCAUCAAGAAACAAGAUGGAGAUACCUGAGGAUGCUCUUCAAUACCCCAUUGCCUGCAGAUGUUAGACCCCCGAAAACUCAAGUAUCCGGGGUCCCAGGCCACGUUCGAGGUCACCCCAAUCACCAGGCGGAUUUGAGAGCUUGCUGCAAACUGCACGAGGCUUUAUUGUAAUUUAACGAGCUAACCCCAUGUUAGCUCGGGUCUUUCACCCACCCGCCAUGGCGGACGGCUAGCAAAAGAUGGCUCCUAGGGCCUCCCAAGAGAUCUUAUAGGACCGCAUAAGGGGAGUGUCUAGGGGUACGCACAGGCUCACUAUUGGUGUGCCUCCAGCCUUGGAGGGCUUGCCCUGUGUUGAUUGGUCAACUGGUUGUUAUGGCCCAUAGGCCCUCCCAGGGUGGUUGCUAUGCUCUGUGUGUCAUUGCUGUGCACUUGUCUGUAAAGCACACCCAGGGUCAUAAAGCAUAGCGCCACCAGCUAACUUCUGAUUGGUUCCUUGUCACGAGACAGGCAUCUGACCUCUAAGUGACCAAGGCAGGUUUAUGGCAAGCACGUGUUCAGCU
This 867-nucleotide long non-coding RNA is filed under the name Cricetulus griseus (Chinese hamster). RNAcentral's name for it is "lncRNA (ENSCGRG00015034962.1)". The record is from RNAcentral. Lineage: Eukaryota; Metazoa; Chordata; Mammalia; Rodentia; Cricetidae.